UUUUUGGAGAGUUUGAUCCUGGCUCAGGACGAACGCUGGCGGCGUGCCUAAUACAUGCAAGUCGAGCGGAGUUGUGAGAGAGCUUGCUCUUGAUCAACUUAGCGGCGGACGGGUGAGUAACACGUAGGCAACCUGCCCCUUGGACUGGGAUAACUACCGGAAACGGUAGCUAAUACCGGAUAAGACCUUCUGGUGCAUACCGGAAGGCGGAAAGGCGG
The sequence is a ribosomal RNA, 218 nucleotides long. It matches the Rfam family "Bacterial small subunit ribosomal RNA", at positions 1 to 211 of the family's 1533-position model.